AACGUAGGAGGCAAGCGUUAUCCGGAUUUACUGGGCGUAAAGGGCAAGUAGGGGGCUGUGUAAGUGAGGUUUGAAACCUGUUGGCUUAACUGGCAGCAUGGACUUCAGACUGCACGGCUUGAGGUGGGGAGAGGGAUGCGGAAUUCCUGGUGUAGUGGUGGAAUGCGUAGAGAUCAGGAGGAACACCCGUGGCGAAAGCGGCAUCCUGGCCCUGACCUGACCCUGAGAUGCGAAAGCGUGGGGAGCAAACAGG
RNAcentral lists this ribosomal RNA (253 nucleotides) under uncultured prokaryote. RNAcentral's name for it is "partial 16S ribosomal RNA". It matches the Rfam family "Bacterial small subunit ribosomal RNA", at positions 524 to 776 of the family's 1533-position model. The record is from RNAcentral.